Triplophysa dalaica is the source of this 827-nucleotide long non-coding RNA. RefSeq lists it as uncharacterized. The record is from RefSeq and is a predicted model, not a curated record. The transcript has 5 exons. NCBI's taxonomy places the organism in Eukaryota, Metazoa, Chordata, Actinopteri, Cypriniformes, Nemacheilidae.
GGCUUCUGAGCGCGCGUGUCAGCGGAACCGGGGGCGCGCGUUAAACUCCACUCACUGCGUGGACCUGCUUUCUCGUGGAAAACCUUCAUCUACAUCAAUAACGAUCAAACUGUAUUUACAUCGAGGGGGACGGACCUCACCGUAGGACACAGACAGCCGGGGUCAUCCAGGGCAGAACACAAGCGCUGCACAUCUUAGGUUCAGAGAACAGUCCUGAGUCAGGACUGAAAUGGCAUGUGUUUUUGGACCGGCCACAAAACAGAACCCAACCCACCCAACCCAAGCUCCUCUACAAUCUGACGUUCUAACUAGAGACACCGAGGUUUUUUAAUGACACAGCAGAGCAGUGCCAUGCCGAAAAUACUUCACAGAGUCAUCGGGGAGGCCUUCAUCCAAGAAUUUACAAUUUACGUACCAAAAAAUGUUGCGAGGCUUAAAGUGAGCUGUGAUUGGUCAACGCACAUGUCCGUCAAACAGUCUCCUCCUGAAGUGAUACGCUGCAAUUUGCACAAGAUUUUAUGAACACAAAAGAAGAUAUUUUGAAGAACGUCCCAGUUGACCGCCAUUGAACGAACACAAAACCACUGGACUUCUUUUGUGAUCCACAGAAGAAUGAGUCAUGUACAGGUUUUGAAUCACAUGAGGAUGAAUAAAUAAAUACAAAACUCAAUGAACUAUCCCUUUAAAUGUAAACAAUGGGUUACAAUCUUUAUUAUUCAUCCAAGUACUGCAUCCAUCUAUUGUCUAUCAAACCUCCGGUGACCGCUAAAAAAUGAACACUAGGACAUUACAUCAAAUCCUGUGUUUAACAGGCCAGAACUGUGGAA